GCCAGCAGCCGCGGUAACACCGGCGGCCCGAGUGGUGAUCGUGAUUAUUGGGUCUAAAGGGUCCGUAGCCGGUUUGGUCAGUCCUCCGGGAAAUCUGAUAGCUCAACUAUUAGGCUUUCGGGGGAUACUGCCAGACUUGGAACCGGGAGAGGUAAGAGGUACUACAGGGGUAGGAGUGAAAUCUUGUAAUCCCUGUGGGACCACCUGUGGCGAAGGCGUCUUACCAGAACGGGUUCGACGGUGAGGGACGAAAGCUGGGGGCACGAACCGGAUUAGAUACCCGGGUAGUCCCAGCCGUAAACGAUGCUCGCUAGGUGUCAGGCAUGGCGCGACCGUGUCUGGUGCCGCAGGGAAGCCGUGAAGCGAGCCACCUGGGAAGUACGGCCGCAAGGCUGAAACUUAAAGGAAUUGGCGGGGGAGCACAACAACGGGUGGAAGCCUGCGGUUUAAUUGGACUCAACGCCGGACAACUCACCGGGGGCGACAGCAAUACGUAGGCCAAGCUGAAGACUUUGCCUGAAUCGCUGAGAGGAGGUGCAUGG
RNAcentral lists this ribosomal RNA (542 nucleotides) under uncultured archaeon. RNAcentral describes it as "bacterial SSU rRNA". It matches the Rfam family "Archaeal small subunit ribosomal RNA", at positions 457 to 997 of the family's 1478-position model. The record is from RNAcentral.